Molecule: ribosomal RNA, 468 nt
Filed under: uncultured bacterium
Lineage: Bacteria
Description: partial 16S ribosomal RNA
Rfam family: Bacterial small subunit ribosomal RNA
Source: RNAcentral
GACGAACGCUGGCGGCGUGCUUAACACAUGCAAGUCGAACGGAAAGGCCCUGCUUUUGUGGGGUGCUCGAGUGGCGAACGGGUGAGUAACACGUGAGUAACCUGCCCUUGACUUUGGGAUAACUUCAGGAAACUGGGGCUAAUACCGGAUAGGAGCUCCUGCUGCAUGGUGGGGGUUGGAAAGUUUCGGCGGUUGGGGAUGGACUCGCGGCUUAUCAGCUUGUUGGUGGGGUAGUGGCUUACCAAGGCUUUGACGGGUAGCCGGCCUGAGAGGGUGACCGGCCACAUUGGGACUGAGAGACGGCCCAGACGCCUACGGGAGGCAGCAGUGGGGAAUAUUGCACAAUGGGCGGAAGCCUGAUGCAGCAACGCCGCGUGCGGGAUGACGGCCUUCGGGGUGUAAACCGCUUUCGCCUGUGACGAAGCGUGAGUGACGGUAAUGGGUAAAGAAGCACCGGCUAACUACGUG